GGAAAAGGCCAGGAGAAAAUACAGGAGAGAGGCCCUGUCUACACACCAAGCAGAGAGAUCUCACCAGAACCCAGGCUUGCCCAUGCCUGGAUCUCUGAUUUCCAGCCUCCAGGAUUGGGAGAAAGGAAUGUCUGUUGUCUAAGAUUCUCUUAAUGGGGGAAUCUGUGGGAUUUGGCCAUGGCAGCCUUAAUGGACUCAGACACAAGGGAUGAUAGUCAUAUCCUGUGGCAUCUGAAAUGUGCUCAUGUCAUCACUGGGGAAGAAGAAAGUGAGUGAAGUCCACGUGAGAUUNGAGUCAUAUCCUGUGGCAUCUGUGCUCAUGUCAUCACUGGGGAAGAAGAAAGUGAGUGAAGUCCACGUGAGAUUAUUUAAGCACUCAACAUCAUUAGACGUGGUGGAUGAGAUCAGGAUCAGUGUGGAACCGGCAGGUUUCCCUCACCAAGAUCUCUGUUGAAGGCUAACUUAUCAUGACAUCUUCGGGGCCCAAGGAGAGAAGCUGCAUGUGUUAUGCUCCAACAUUGGGAAACUAUAUAGUUACGAUGAAUGGGUACUUCUCGUGUGGCAUGUGGUGCCUCCACUGUACCCAGGGCUUCAUUAUUUCCAGACUGGGAGUCAUCCAGGAAGGACCCUGUUAUGACAUCCAAGGCGUGUUCCCAAAGAAAAUCAUGCGGAGGGAAUAG
This 680-nucleotide long non-coding RNA is filed under the name Vulpes vulpes (red fox). RNAcentral's name for it is "lncRNA (ENSVVUG00000007729.1)". Lineage: Eukaryota; Metazoa; Chordata; Mammalia; Carnivora; Canidae. The record is from RNAcentral.